UAUUUAUUGGACUUAAUGCUGACGCGGAAGCGGCAGCGGAAGUGGUGGCCCUCGUGUGAAGCCCUACUUGGGUAAAGACCAGCUAGUCUACCUGUGCGAGUCCACCGAGCAAGGACACCGACAAGGCGCCACUCACCAAAGCACUUAAACCGUUCACAAGAUACAGAUGCAAGACAAAACGCAACCCACACAACCUACGGCCGCUUUGCACUUCAACACCUGCUCCACUCUCGUUCUCAGUGGGACUCUGGAACUGCCAGUCUGCUGUGAACAAAGCUGCCUUCAUUCCGGCUUUCAGCCACGCAGUCCACCCUCAGCAUCCUGGCACUGACAGAGACAUGGAUACGUCCUGAGGAUACAGCAACACCUGCUGCUCUCUCUAACAACUUCUCCUUCUCCCACACCCCUCGACAUACUGGUAGGGGUGGGGGAACAGGUCAGCUGACAAGCUUUCUUGAGGAAUUGGAUGUCCUGCUGUCCUCCUUGCCAGAGGAUGGCAGGCCACUUGUGGUUCUUGGUGAUUUCAACAUACACCAGGACAAACCCCAGGCCAUUGAACUGAAUACUCUUCUGGCCUCAUUUGACUUGGAAAGACUACACACCACAGCAACUCACAGGUCGGGCAACCAGCUGGACCUCAUU
Long non-coding RNA from Xyrauchen texanus (razorback sucker), 642 nucleotides. RefSeq lists it as uncharacterized. NCBI's taxonomy places the organism in Eukaryota, Metazoa, Chordata, Actinopteri, Cypriniformes, Catostomidae. The record is from RefSeq and is a predicted model, not a curated record. The transcript is spliced from 3 exons.